Artibeus jamaicensis (Jamaican fruit-eating bat) is the source of this 21598-nucleotide long non-coding RNA. RefSeq lists it as uncharacterized. The record is from RefSeq and is a predicted model, not a curated record. The transcript has 3 exons. Lineage: Eukaryota; Metazoa; Chordata; Mammalia; Chiroptera; Phyllostomidae.
GCAGGGUAGAGAGGGGCUGGGACAGCAGCUAGGACUUCAGGCUUGGAGUAGGCAGUUAUGGGAUAAGUUGCCUGGCCUGGCCCUGGUCUUCAAGGUUGAUGCGGGCUUUGGUGAGAACACAUGAGGGCAAGGGCAGAGUUGGGGGCUGUCACAGCCGUGGGGGCCCAACACAUGGGCAGGCAGCCCCUGCGAGGUGGAAAGAAUCAUCAGAUGCUGAACCUGGCUUGAGGAAGGGCCCCCUGGACUCAUAGGUUUUGGUUGGUGAGUGCAGGAGUGGAGGCAGGGCUAGGUGCAGGUUGGGACCCGAGCGACUUAUUAGUAAGAAAUGUGCACGUGGUCUCCUGAGUGCUGAGUACAAUCAAAACCCAGAAGAACUGGCUUUGGAGAGCAUCCAGGUUGGUGACCACCUGAAGAAGUGGGGACAGUGGCGCACCCAGGGCAUGGAAGUCCUUUCCUUAGACUCUGCUUUGUGUGUCUCUUCUAUCUGGUUGUUGUUUUGUAUUCUUUAACAUCCGUUGUAAAAAUCCAGUGCGUAAUCUGGCCUCCUGAAUUCUGUGAGGUGGGUAGACAGUGUCAAAACUCAGUUGAAUUGUGGGACACCCAGCUGCUGUCAGAGAAUUGCUUGGGUGUACGGGGAAAAAAUAUGGGUGCAGAAUGGUAGAGGGCAUGGCCAUUGGCUGAGAUUGGACCAUGAGGGAGGCAAGGUUGUGGAGGAUGAGAGCUCAGACCCUGUCCUGUUGGAUUUUUGAUGUCCCUGAGAUUCCAGGUGGCGAUGGAGCCCAGGUGAGUCUGGAAUUGAAGAGAGUGUUUGGGGCUGGAGAUGUGGGAAGCGCUGGGGCAUGGCCGCCCAGCGCCAAAUCUGGCCUUGAACCCAGGCUUGCCUCCUGCACAGGGCCCGCUUUCCGCUUCCUUGGGACAAAGCUCUUGGCAGUGCUACAGGUUGUUAGCUGGAGUGGUCUGCCUGUGUGUUGGGUCCCCCACCCCUCUCCCCCUAGCAUGGUAGCCCAGUUCUUUCCUCCCCCACAACCCCCCAGCAGCCGGUGUGCCAGUCUCCACUGGCAGCACCCUCCCCACAGGCCUCACGCUCUGUGCUGCUCUGUCCAGAGGAGGCUUUCUGCCUUCCUCGUCUUCAUUCCCUGGGGAAACUCGAACAUUGCUGGCCCUCGCUCUUGGUGGACACCUUCUUUCCUGUGCCCCACCUGCUUUUCCAGCUCACAGUCUUUGGGUCCUUGUGAAAGUCCUCUUUCUCUGUCUGUCAGUUACUCUCUCAGCGGAGGUUCAUGGAGAACCACUGUGUGCCGUGCCCCAUGGGAGCCCAUGGGUGCCAGGGGACAGACUGGGCCAUCUCUGUUCUCAGAGGCUACAAACCGAUUUGUACUGAAAAGAUGAGGUGCUACAGGGGGACUAAUGGGGCUUUUCCCUUCAUCUGUGUCUUGGCCUCUGGCCCAGAAUCAUCGCAGAGUUCUAGGAGCUUGGGGGCCAGUUGUCAACGCCCAACCUGGGCACGUUAGACCCAAAAAGAGCUGGCUCUUUGGGCCCCGGCCAAGACUUCCUCAGCGUGCUCUCCUCCACCAUCCCCAAGAAGGAGGAACCCUGUUCGGGGGCCCAGCGCAGAGCUCCCAGGCUAACUUUUCCUGCUUUCUUGUGCCCACACCCGCAAGACGGCCCUUAUAGGUUCACCUGCUCAACAUGGAGCUGCCACCACCAUGGGGCGGGCGGCUGGUGCUGCCUGCCUCUCCCCGGCCCCUCCGGCCUUGCCCACACACACAUUCACUCACACGUCGUAAACACGGGGCCGGGGGUUGGCCCUCACCCCGUGCCCUCAGGGGUGCUAUUUGUCCAGGAGACGGUGUGAGCCCUUUUGCCUGGCCUGUGGGGCUUCUCUCUGGCAGCACCCUCAUCUCUGCACCCUUGGUCACUGUGGGUUCCUGCCUUUCCCUGCUGAUGAGGUCUGUCACCCAGGGUCCCAUACGCCUGUACUGUUGUCCCUGCUCCUCACAAUGCCCUCCCUAGUCCUACCCUCUCAGUCAGGGUUGCUGACCUUGGCGGUGGAGCUGUUUUGGGCCAUCCUGUGUACUGCAGUUUGUUUGACCAUGUCUGGGUCUCUGCCAACCAGGUGUCAGUGGUCGUCCCAAGUCCUGAUGGUCUCAAAUGUCUCCAGACAUUACCAGGGUCCCCUGAGGGUCUCAGUCGCCCCUGUUGCUCUCAGUGAGGCCACCCUGCGUGCCACUGCUUGGCCCUCAGCCUUCUUAACUAGAGCGCUGAGAGCGCUGAUGUGGUGCAUGCAUUGCCCCCAUGUGCCCAGCCCAGGCACUGUGCGCUGCACGGAUAGCAGAGUGUUGGCCUCACUGCGGGCUCGCACCCAGCACCACCUCACAAUGGGCCUGUAGACAGUGCUGGCUGGUUCCUGAACUGGGCUCUUUCCCAGCUUUCUGCCGUGGCCCCUGGUGGGGGAGGGCCGUCCCCUCUGUGACGUCUGCAUGGGCCUGACUGUGAAGAAGGGGGACUUCGGGGUUUCCCUGUCCUGGGCCCCACCGUGGGGGUGGUGGGGGCCUGUGUGUGGCAGCUCCUGGGACGCCCUCUGUGUUAGGACACAGGCAAGCAAGCCCGUGUUAGCACAGCGCAGCCUGGAGCUCUCCCCUGUUGUUUGAAAGAGAAAUUGUUUACAUGCUUUGGUGUCGAAGGCAAACUGCUUGUCAUGGACACCAGAACUGACUGAAGCACUUUGAGAUGCCCUGGUGAACCAGGUGGGUUUGUAGACAGAGUGACCAUAUAGUUAAUUUUCCAUGUGGGGACUCUUGGGAAAGUGAAGGGGGGUCACUGAUAACCCUGUCAGGACCACACGUGCAGGCGGGGCGGGCCCGGCAUGUGGGUUCUUCGGCAUCGAAGGAGUGCCUCUGAGUGAGGUCGUGCUCUUCCAAACCCCCGGCCCCAGCCUGCUCUGCCCCUGCCCGCCCCGGCACUCCCACUCACGCCCAGGCCUGAGACCUGCUGCCCUUCAAGAGCCAGUGUACAGCCCCCAGGACACUGCCGCCCUUGCCGCCCCCCACAGCCGAGCCCCAGACCCCCUCUCUGAGGUCCAUUGCUGGGCUCUGCGGUCCCUCACGUGUGCUCACAGAGGAAAUGUAUUUAGUGGGUGGAGACAUAUCACGGUUGGUCUUCCAGACAAGACUGCAGCCAAAGCCCCAGCUGGGCCCUGCUGGUGUGUGCUGGUCCCACAUCUGUAGCACCACUGCCUGCCUGCCCUGUGGCCCUGGGCUUUCCUAGCUGUAGCCCUGGAGUCCCUCCAUCCUGACUGGUUACCCUAGGGAGUGACAAGGGAGAGGAGACUUCUCCCAGAGGGUGAGAAUGAGAGCAGGCGGCUUUUCCUCUCACUGCCUGGUGGGGGUGGAGGGUUCCUUGGCAGAGUGACCUUUAUCCUUCCAAGUCCCUGGACUGGUGGUGCCAGCUCAUGGCUGUGGGCUGCAGAGGGAGCCAGGGCAGCAGGAUGGCAGGUGGCGCUGUGGGCAAGGCGAGGGACUCCUGGGCUCCACACGCAGGCUCAAGGAGGUGCCCGUGAGAGCGGGGCAGAAGGGUGUGCUCCGCAGCCUGCCCUGCCCCUUGCCGCUCUCUGCCCUGCCUGACUCCUCUAGUGUGCACUAGCCAUGCAGCCUCAGCUUCUGCUUUCAGAGCCUCAGCCAACAGUCUGUUGGCUCAUUUUGGGGUGUCCUGGGGGAUCCCCACAGGUGCUAGGAAACUGGCCCUGCAAAUGCUUCAGGCUGGAACAAGGGAGCUGGCCUGCUACUGGGAGGGGCCAGGUCUGUGUCCUCUGUCCACGCUGCCCUCCGGGCCUGUGUUUCUCCAGCCAUGGGUAAGGACAUCAGCUGAGACCCUGUCUGGCUUGGAAAUGCUGGGACCCACUCACUCUGCCAAUCCCACUCUGGGGCAACCCUGUGCUGGGCCCAGGGUUCCGAGUGUAUCACCUGCCCUCCUUGAACUGUGAUCUGAUGAAAGUAUGAGCAUGUUAGUGUGGGGGGUGUGUGUGUGUGUGUAAGUAUGAGUAUGGGCAGGCACGUGUGAGUGUGCGUGUGUGACUCCCUCAGACACACAGGGGACCUGCCAUGGGGACGUGGACCAGACUGUCUUGAGACCCUUGCUCUUAUCUGGCUCAGAAACCUGGCUCCCAGGGCCCAGCCACAUACCCACCGGGCUCCAAGCGGCUGUAUCAGGACAAGUCUCCCUCAGCCAGGUGAGUCUGGUGUUUGUAGAAAUGCUGAGCUGGGCAAUGGGCAUAAUCUGUAAGCAUUUUCUCUCAGCAGAGCUGGCUGGCAGGUCCUUGGUUCUGAGAGCACAGGACUCUUUUAGUGGCUGGCCACUUGUCCCUCCCGACUAUGUCACCUAGGCCACUGCAACCCCCUGGGUCUCCUCCAGCCCCCAGCCCCUGCCCGGCUGUGUUCAGCUGGGUACCUGUAGAACUAAUGGUGUCACUGGCCUUGGCUCCAUGGCUGUGGAGUCUGCUCCUUGUUACCAGUGACCCAUGCUUCCUCCUCUAGCCUUGAUAUUGGCUCAAGUGCAAGAUGUUCUUUGGCAUCUGUGUGAUGUUCUUUUCUGAGCCAGGGUAUAGACUAGAGUUUGGGCCAGAAGCAGCCUUGCCUGCCUGCCCUGGCCCUAUGGCCUGUCCAUCUCUGAAUGGAGAGCCUUACCGGACAGCAGCAUCUCCUCGCGGGGCUGCUGUGAGUGGCUUGCCAGGGGAGACUUGUGCCAUUGGCCAGGAUGAACUUUAGAAUCUCAGUGUUCCAGCACCAUGCUGAUAAUGUGUCUGUGGCACUUUGGGUCAGCAGCUCCUGGUCUCUGCUGGGAUCACUCGGAGUGACACAGUUACGGACAAAAGGGAAGGAAGCAAGAGGAGGCUCUCCCCGUUCAAGCCUGGGCCCUGGGUGCACCCUGGCAGAGUGGGUCUCUUCCAUGAGCUCACCCUUCCUUCAGUUUUCGGUAUUCUAGAGGUGGGCUUUAAGCUUCCUCAGGAAGCCCGUGCUGUGUGGGUGGGUCCAAGCACAUCUCCCUCGGGGGCUGGGUUUUGGUCCUGGCCUCUGCAGCGCCGUGUGUGCGUGUGUGUGUGUGUGUGUGUGUGUGUGUGUGUGGCAUCCAGGUGGUUGGGGCCCCGCGGAUCCUGCUCCUGGAUGUGUGGUUUGGUGUCGGUAGUCUGGGAUUUUUCCCAAGCAGGGCAGGGGGGCAGGUUUGGGUUACCCCACCUUUUCCUGGGUAUUCCUAGCAGGCGGGGCCCUUCUACUUAGACGUCCUUGUAGAUCCUGUGGCCUCCAGGUGAAGCGAAUGCUUGGGAGGCCUUUCGUGGACCCACCUACCCACCUCCACAGGGCACAUCUCCUGCAACCUCCCACCCUACUUCCCACCCUCUUGCUCUGCAGAUGCCAGCCUUCCUCUGACCCCUGCCCUUGUGCAGUCUGCCCCCUCUUUCUGGAAGGGCCUCUGCACUCUCUGCCUGGCUGCCUCCUGUUCCCUGCACAGGCCUUUGCUGGUCCUCUAGCUGGCCUUCCCUGAGCAGGCGUAGCUGAGCUGAGACCAGCCAGAGUUGGGAGGUGUGUUGCAAAGGUGUCCCUCCUCACUGGUGGGUGAGUCCUGGGGGACCAGGUAAGAUGGUGCCUUCCUAUCUCCAUCUGUGAGGGGUUGUAGGUCCUCCAUCAGCCCCAUGAGUGAAUAAACGAGGUGCCUCUGGGAGCUUCAGCAGCCUGGGAGCGAGCCUGGUGGGGCUGCUGUCUUCGCCCUUCCCCGGGUCUUCUUUUGGGUCCAGGUGUUGAUCCGUGGGGAAUAUCCGAGGCUAGGGUAUUCAUCUCAUUUCACUGCUGACUUGCUCUGUGACCUGGCAAGUCCUUUCACUUCCCUGUCCCUCCAUUGCUUUGUCCUAGGUCUGGAGGAGCAGCCUUUGCCCCUCUUUCCUCAUGACAUGGCAGCGAGAUUGUUGGGGAGGGAAUGAGUGUGAGGGGCUCUGGAAGUCUGAGGUGCCCAGCACCAUGUCUGGCUCUAAGGAGAGGCACCUGUGGGGGCCGUCCGGCGCAGCAUAUGCCCAGGAAGCUCUCGUGUCACCGGAAACUCCCCAGCUUUGUGCCCAGCUGUGGACCAAGUGCUUUCACUCCUCCCAGAAUCUCACCCCCAGCAAAUGUCUACAGCCUUAGCAACUAUCUUGGAGUGUAUUUCUGCAGCGGCCGGCCCCUUCCUCAAAGCCAGCGGUCGGGAGUCAGCCUGGACGAGCCUGGGAGACUCAGGAGAUGGAGCGGAUGUGUGCGGCUGCCUGGCGCCCUGGGCCCUGUGCUGCCCGGUGCUGUCGGGCCCUCCAGUGUCCUGGGUACUGCUGCCGGGCCGUGGGGUUCUGGGUUGCCAGUGGCCCAAGAGGCAGUUCCAUUCCUGCCACCUUUGUCCCCAUUCCUCACUGUGGGGCUCAGCCAGGUUCUGGAGACCCUGGGUGACAUUUGUUGCAUUUCCGGGAAGGCUCCAGCACUCGUGUGGGUGCCCGUCCUACAGUGACAAAUCUAGGAGUUGACACAGAAGAGGGCAUAGUGGUGUAGGCCUGGGGGCCUGGCCUCCCGGGCGUUUGGGGCUCAGGGAGCAUGGCUGGGGGUGCCAAGGUGUAUGCUGCACAGGGGCCGGGGAUUGGGAAGAGGGACUAGACCCAGCCAACGGGGCCUGUGCAGAGGCAGAUGGAGAAUCAGGCUGCCUGAUGGAAAAGGGAAAUUCGGAGAGGGUGGGAGGCUGAGCCUGCAAAAGUUUCUCAGCCAUGGUUUCCAGACUCAAGUGCCCACCAUCUGGGACUCUGGCCUAGCCUCAGAGGCCAGGCUUUGUGCACCAGGACACGGCCAUGCCUGUGUGCAGGUGGGCAUCUGCCAGCCAACACCCAUGUGCCCCUUUUUGCUUCAUCCCACCAGCCCGUCCUGAAAAUGCUCUGAGAUGAGCCCGCUUGUGCCGCUGGGCAGACAGCCCCUGUGGGGCGCAGACCAGUGACAGCCUCCCUGCCACUGUGUGUGGCCACCAGACUGACCCUAGGGAGCCACCAAGGGUACACACAGCAGGUGCACCCAGGUCCAGCCUCCCAAGUUACUGGCUGAGUUCCUAAGAUCCUUGGAAUUUCCUAAGUGAUAAGAGGGAUCAAACUGUCUCUUCUUCUGUUAAUGAAGUGACUCCGGACAGCCCCUAGGUCUCCUCAGUGGGGAGCUGUGUGCCAGUCAGAGGGCUGGAACUUUUUGUGCCAUCUGGGACCUCCAGAACAUUGGGCAGAGGGGCUGAAGGACCUGCAGAGGUCAGCCCUGGAUUGUUCAGCAGUAGCAGCAGCGGCUGAGGACCAGAGAGGUUGCUUGACCUGCUGAGGUCACACAGCUAAGAGUGCCUAGGUGGGCCUGGCAGCUGACACAUUCACUCCUGUGCAUUGUCCACCCUCCGGCCCACCCCCUGGAAGGCUUGCCUGGUGCAAACAUAGCCCUAAACGGCAGCAUGGCUUGGCGCGGAUGGGGCAGAAUGUGGGGGUCUGCCAGCAGAAGAGGCCCUUGGAGCACCUAUUGGGAUCCCGCCUUGUGGUCCCCUCCCCUGGACUGUAGUGUGCUGGUGUGCACCCUGCACUGACUUCCUGAUGGCCUGGCUUCCUGGUCAGUGUUUGCCCUCCCUUGUCAACAUUAUGGCUGCACAUGGACUUCCUGUGGGCAGGGCCUCACGUGGGCCUGCCACAGGGGGCAGCCAUCCAGAAGAGAUACUGCUCUUCUGCGUCCAGAAGGGUGGAUGCAGGUGUCUUCAGGCCUGUCCUUGUCCUGCUCAGUCCCAGGAGCUCUGUGUAAUCAUGCUGCCCUGCCCACUCAGGCCUCCCCCACCUUCCCCACAGCCAGUCCUCCCUGCCCAUCUCACUGGGCCAGGGGAGGGGGCAUGGGCCUCUGAGUAGGCCAGCUGUCCUGUCCAUGGUGCCCCCUCGACGAGGGCCCUGGGGACGGUACAGACUUCUCCGAGCCUCCGCUUUCUUGUCUGUAAUGUUAGCUCAGCAUCGGGGCCUCCUUGGAGAACGUCAGGGGCAGAACAGUGCCGGAGCUGGUACAGCACUUCUCAUGCCCGUUCUUUCUCUCUUCUCGCUCCUGGCACUCACUGUCAGCUCUCUGUGGCUGUUCCUGUGGCCGAUCUGCCUGGGUCUUUUGUUGUGGAACUGUCCUGUGGCUUUAGUCCUUCACAGUGGGCUCAGGCAGGGCAGCAGGCCUUAGCGCCCAGCUUGGGAUCCGGUCACCUGAGUCUGAGCUGUGGCAAGCCGCUGACCAUGCCGCCUCAGGCAAGGUCCCCACCUGGGCUCCAGGCUUCAGUCUCCUCCUCUGUGAGAUGAGUUCGCUGAGGCAUCCGUCCCAGGGUUGUGGUGACAUUAGUGAAUGACAUGCAGGGCUGUGCCAGGUGCUGAGUCUCAGCUGGAGAAGUGUGAGCCCUUGACUGCCAGCUCCUGCCUGGACCCAUGGUGACUAGGCUGUCCGCUCGUCUUGCUGUUUGUGUGAUCUGACCUUGUGGUCAGAGGAAGGGGCAGGGGAGGUGGUAGAGAAAGGAAAGAGACAGGAGAGGGUGUGCACGUCUUCUAGCCUUCACUGGUCACACUGCACAUUGGCCACUGGGUCCCUGGCAUGUGCUAGGCCAGACCCAGGAUUCAUGGCUCAGGGGAAGGGCCAGCUGGUUACAGGGAAGUUCCAGGACGGUUGGGGACAGUGGUGGGAGUUGAAGUUAGAAGAGUGGUUUUGUGGAUCUUCUGAGGAGUUGGUACCUGCUGCUGGGGGUGGCGGGAGGCCAGUGAGGGGCCUCAGGGUCCUUGUGAGAAUCCAGCAACUUGGCCUGCUCAGGGUUCAGAGCUGCGCCCAUUAGUGCUCAGGCAGACGUGUGCUGUGGCCACUCUGGGGCCCCCUCCCAGACAGCAGAGAGGCCGUGAGCACUCUGCAAGUGUUGGUUGAAUAAAUGACUGAAUAGAUAUCAUCCCCCUCCUUUCACUUCUGUGCUAAGAGUUCUUUUUUAAAAAAAUCUGCUGAAAUCACACUGAUUGAUACUGAUGAAAACUGCCAUGGAAAGGCUCCAUUGCUGGUCCCCGCACCCCUGCCAGCAGGGCACUGUGCCCACCAGGCUGGGUCCCAAGCAGUAGCAGGUGUUUACAUCUCUCAGCCUCUUUAUUGACUGUCACGCAUGUCACCUGUCUACUGAAGGACAAAGGCCCUGGUCUCACCGUGGUUGAUGGCAGAGGUAAAGGAGUCCAGAUCUCCUCAUGCUGUCUCCCUAUAUUGAAAGCCAAGUACCUGUGCACAAGCUACUUCUGCAGGAGAAACGGACAAGAGAUGUCGGAGGCACCUCUUGCCUUGCAGGAUCCUGCCCCAGGGCCUCCUGGCUUGGCCUCAGCCUGCCUCCUGGGGUACAGGUCAAGUGUCCCCUCCCACAGAAGAUUCUGGCUCUCCAGCCUGGAGCAGCCCUAGCCUUUGCAGGGUGUGUGUUGGGCAGCAGGAGAGAGAAAAAUCAACUCUCAAAUGCAGCCCAUCAGCCGCUGUGGCUGGAAGAUGGCAUUUUUCAAGACAGGCUAAGGAAAAUAUAAAAGGAUCCAUGUGAGAAGUUUCUAGAUUUCGCUAGACUUCCCAAGUAGAGGCACAGAGCUGGAUGGAGCCAUGAGCCUCGUUUCGCUGAGUUGCUGGCUGUGAAGGGUGCUGUGGAGGGUUCUGGAGGUGGUUCUUCCUGGAGGAUGCCAACGUGAUGAGAGGGAGGGUGGGGCGAGGGCUUUCCUGGGCCUGAGCAUCUGUGGGCUUAAAGGAUGCAGAAUUAGGGGCGUUCUGAGGGUGAGGCAGCCAGGAGCACGAUUUCGGGCGUCAUCUCUGACACAGAACCUGGGUGGCAGUCGGAAAAGAUGAUUCUGGGGUGUGGCGUACCAUUGCUUCUGCUCAGUCUCAGAUCUGCACACUGCCUCCCUGGGAAAGAAGGGUGAGUGCAAGUGGAGGGCGGAAGGUCAGAGCAUGUGUGCAGCUAAGCCCCGGACGACGCUUUGAGCUCAGACAGCAGCCUGGGGGCUUCCCCCACCAACUACAGGUGGUAGGCAGAAGAGAAUUUCAGGGUGUCCUUCUCUGGAGGGGCUGUUGUCACCCUGACCCCUUGCUGUCUGGCUCUAGAUCUGACCUGUGGCUUGUAUGGAGGAUGGCCACUGGGAACCCUGAGAGCUCAAUCCCCAGAGCACAGUGUGGGAACCUCACAGCCUUGCUAACCCUCAGCCCACCAGUUGUCCUCAUACCCGAAUAGAAACCUGCAGUUUCUAAAGACUGGUUUCUGGAGGUGGUGAGUGCAGGGCUGGGCCCUGCGGCCUCCCAGGCCCACAGAGGAACAGGCGGUCCUCAGCCAGGCUGGCAGGAGCAGCCUGUUCAGAAGACACUGUUCCCUGGGCGUGGGUUUGACACCUUCCACCAUCUGGGCUGAGACACCUCCUCCCUGGGAGCUUGGAAAGUCAGGUGUGAGAUCCAAUGUCUUAAUUUUACGCUUUUAAAUACUUAUUUAUUUAUAUUUUAUAGAUUUAGAUACUAGGGACAGAUUGCAGGUUUUCCUUUUUUAAAAGUUUUUAAACUUGCAGUUUAUAUUCAAUAUGAUUUUGUUAGUUUCAAGUGUACAACACAGCUGUUGGACAGCCAUGUACUUCAUAAGGUAUUUUUCUUGGUAUUUCUGGUACACACCUUGGCCUGGUUUUAGACUUUGGAUCUCUGUAUGGAGACAGCAGCAGGAUCGUUAGGAAGAAACAAGAGCAGUAGCAGCCUGACCCGGACCGCUCGUGAGUGGUAAACCAGGCCCGCCUCCGUGGGCGAGGGACACGUCCAGGGAAGGCGCUGUGGCCGCCCCCCGUGCCUGCCUGGAGUGUGCCCUCACUGAGCUGCUCAGUUUUCCCAGGCGUGAGGGCCAUGCCUCCCUUGCAGGUGGUGGCUUCUGCCCUGAGGGACAGAACGCUAGGCACAUGUGAGAGUAACUGGGUAGAUGAGAUGACUGUUGUCCAGACCUUUUGGGGGAGACCCAGAAGUUUCUCACCAGUGAACUUUCCAGUUUUCAGUGAAACUUAAAUGCCCUGAGUUAUUUUUUUUCUCAUCUUUUAAGUCCCGCACAUGUUCUUCCUAACGUCACACAUAGGCGGCCUUGCCCCCAGCAGCACAGACAUGGGCCCAGGCGCCUCUCAGACUGCUGCAGAGCGGGCCCACGUCCCUGCCUGUGUGGCCCCGGUUGCUGCACUUCUCUGGACCCUACACUUGUUCCAGUAUUUCCGGCUCCUUGUCAGCUGUCAUCUCUGCCCAUAGUGCACCUGUCUUGCUCCCUCCUGGUCUGCCCCCACCACAGUCAGGUGUGUUGGCCUGAGACACCCCGGCCCUGGAGUGGAGACCCCUGAAGUGCUGCACCACCUCCCUCACCAUGAAGGUCAGUGAUCAGUCCCAGUGGCUGCCUCAGGUCCCUGCCUUCCUAAUGCAGCCACCUGCCCCUCACGCCUGGGCACAGGGUUGUGUUCUUUGUAGUGUCUCUGUAGUGUGUAUGCUUACAAUCACAAAUGUGAAAGUAGAUAAUACAUGUGCAUAAUAGAAAUUCAAACAGGACCAAAGGCAUCUAGUGAAAAUUUGUCCCUGGCCCCCUUCUCCUGCGCCCCCUUGCCAGUUUUCCAUGACCCUCCCAAGAUGUUCUUUGGGCACAGGUGCCUCUGUGCACUUCGACCCUCUCUUCUGCCACAUGGCAGCCUCUCCACAGCCCGCAUCUUCCCCUUCAUAAAAGUAGAGGAUGCUGAUCUUAGAACAACCGUGGACACUAACCAUUGUGUUUCCUGAUUGCCAGGCCCUGUUCUAGUUAACCCUGUAAGUGGUUCUUAGCGAGUUUCAGAGAUUGGUCACUUUCCCAUCUGUGGAUGUAUGCGUUCUUUUCAGUCGCUACUUGGUGUUCUGACGCAUGGCUGUGAUUUAUUCACCAUUCUCUCGUGGAUAGACAUUUACUUUAGUUCAGGCUUUUAAAGUGAACAUCCUUACACUGCAUGUGUGUACACGGGCAAUAUGCCUGGGGUCUGCUUCUGGGCUGGAGUGGCAGGGUGUGACUGUGACCAAGACUGUCAGGGAGGCCUAGCACCCUGUGUACUAAAUUGGACUGCCUGGUGUGGCUUGUGCAUGUGACUUUUGACCCCCUGAGCCCUGUCCCAGCCUUGCAUCUGCAAAGGCACGAGGUGCCCAGCCUGGUCGGGGCCGCAGGCAAGCCAUGCAAGCUCAUCCGCAGAGACGGCCCUGUGGCAGGCAGAGACCGUGCUGUUCUGUUUUGUCCCUUCCUUGGGUGGCAGAGCACCAUCAGUGUCCCUGUCCUCAGAGGUCAUGAGGAAUGUUCCAGUGGGUUGAAGGAUUAGCACUGAACAUGGUAUUUGGAGCCCAGACUGUACCCAGCUAGGAGAGUCCUCACACCUAGCUCUCUGGCUCCUUGGCGGGUGGGACUAGUUUCAGGUACAGUUGCACCACUCUGUGAAGGGGAUUGAGUUUCAGUCAGGACGCUGACUUCUAUGUUCCUCCCUACUGCUGGGCAAAUGACCCCCCUUCCUGUCCUUGCUCUGCCCUCAGCAUGGUGUGGGUCUGAGGGGACCAGGUGGGUCUGAGGGGACUGAAUGGCUAUAGGAGGGUGUGCCUUCCUCCUGUCUGCUGGGCUCCAAAGCUGACGAGUCCUCAGACCCAGCAGAAAAGCACUGCUUCUGCCCACAGAAGGGGUGAGCUCUCUCAGCUGCAGUUGUAACUAAUGGGCCGCAGGUCCGGUGGCUCCAGCCUUAGUUGGGUUGGCCACAGGCUUGAAGACUCCCUGGGCAUCUGUGCAGCUUUCCUGGAAAUUUAGUAUUCCAAAAUAAAAGUUUAUUUCUGAAUGGCCUUGGCCACUUGUCACUGGAGAGGGUCUGUCCCAGUGCCUGGCCAGCGAGAGGGACCACUGGCCAGCGUCCCUCUCAUCUCUUCAACUACAUUGUGACAACGAGACACAGCCCAUCUCCCUUAUCACCUCUCAGGGCUGCACACAUUCAGUGGCUCAUUCCUUCAUUCCUUUUCAGAACAAACACUACUCUUGCCUGCUUCCAAACUUUCGCUCAAAAUGUUCUCUCUUGUAAUAAUGAAGUUGUGCUGAGGUAGGAAGUGUAUUCUUAGUUCUAGAAAUGCUACCAUUCAGCAAAUAAGGCAAGAUGUUCUGGAAACUAUUUGACAGUGUGGGAGGUUCAUUCUCUGCUUUUCUGUAUGCUUGAAACCUAUCCAUUAAAAAAAAGUUCCCUCUGCCUGAGAAACCUGUUCCUCUCCUGCUAGUUUCUUCCUGCAAAAGCCUGCCUCCUUCAGGGGCCUGGGCCUCAAGGCUGCUCUGCCCUGUCCCCUCUCUCAGCCUCUCAGCUCCUUGCUUGGGCCUGGAUCAUGGCAAGGUGUCUUCUGAGCCAAAGUGGGAGCAUUUUCUGCUCCUGCCUUCCCUCCUCAAGCAGCCUAUGAACAGCCCAGAAGAGGGCGCCACACCUGGUUCCUCUGCACCUCCCAGGGGUCCUGCACUCAGGCACACAGGCCAAAUCACCAACAUGCUAAUGAUAAGUAAGCAUGUCCAGUGUCACUUCUGCAUGGGCAGCGGCCCAAGCAGAACCACAGGGGAAGAAAGAAAAUAACAGCAUCAGGGCGAAUAGCAUGUGCCACAGCCAAGCCGUGAGCCAGGACCUGCUAUACACCACUGCCACCUGUGUGGCCAACCCAUACAGGGUCCACUGUGUUCCCUUGGCCACAAGCCAGGUCACCCCUCAGCCCUCCCCCUGGCAUGGAAGACUCCCCAGCAGGCCCAGCUGGCCCCACAGCCCUGAAUACACCACAUUCUGGGCUCCUUCAAGGAGGCGGCUGGGCUUCCCUAGGACGUCUGCAGCAGCAGGCUUCAAGCUGGUGCUGGCCUCAUGUGGCCAGGCUAGGGGGUGGUGGGCUUGCUAAGAUUUAUUUUAUUUUUUAAAUAUAUUUUAUCGAUUAUGCCAUUACAGUUGUCCCAUUUCACCCCCUUCAUUCCCCUCCACCCUGCACACCCCUCCCCCAUCAUUCCCCCCCUUUCAUUUAUGUCCAUGUGUCACAAGUUCUUUAGACUCGAUAUUUCCCAUACUAUUCUUGCCCUCCCCCCUGUCUAUUUCUAUCUACGGUCUAUGCUACUUAUUUUCUGUACCUUCUCCCCCCUUCUCCUUCUCCCACUCCCCUGUUGCUAACUCUCCAUGAGAUCUUCAUUUCUAUGGUUUCUGCUCCUGAUAUAGCUGUCCUCUUAGUUUGCUUUUAUUUUAGGUGUGGUUGUUAGUAACUGUGAGUUUGCUGUCCUUUCACUGUUCAUCUUUUUUAUCUUCUUUUUCUUAGAUAAGUCCCUUUAACAUUUCAUACAAUAAGGGCUUGGUGAUGAAGAACUCCUCAAAUUUGACCUUAUCUGAGAAGCACUUUACUUGUCCUUCCAUUCUAAAUGAAAGCUUUGCUGGAGAGAGCAAUCUUGGAUGUAGGUCCUUGCCUCUCAUGACUCAGAAUACUUAUUUCCAGCCCCUUCUUGCCUGUAAGGUCUCUUUUGAGAAAUCUGCUGACAGUCUGAUGGGAACUCCUUUGUAGGUGACUGUCCCCUUAUCUCUUGCUGCUUCUAGAGUUCUCUCCUUCAUUUUCAUCUUGGCUAAUGUAAUGAUGAUGUGCCUUGGUGUGUUCCUUCUUGGGUCCACCUUCUUUGGGGCUCUCUGAGCUUCCUCGACUUCCUGGAAGUCUAUUUCCUUUGCCAGAUUGGGGAAGUUCUCCUUUAUUAUUCGUUCAGAUAAGUUUCCCACUUGUUGCUGUUUCUCUUCCCCUGCUGGUACCCCUAUAAUUCAAAUGUUGGAACGUUUAAAGAUGUCCUGGAGGUUCCUAAGACUCUCUUCCUUUUUUUGAAUUCUUGUUUCUUCCUUCUUUUCUGUUUGGUUGUUCCUUUCUUCCUUCUAGUCCACUCCGUUGAUUUGAGUCCCAGUUUUCUUUCCAUCACUAUUGGCUUCCUAUGUAUUUCCCUUCAUUUCACUUAGUUUAGCCUUCAUAUGUUCCUCUAAUUUGUGACUAAUAUCAACCAGUUCUGUGAGCAUCCUGAUCACCAGUGUUUUAAACUAUGCAUUUGAUAGGUUGGCUAUCUCUUAGUUGCUUGAAAGUAUUGGCUCUGGGGCUUUGAUUUGUUCUUCUUGAGCCAUAAUGUUUUGGUCUGUUCACGCUUGUUAUGUAGGAGGGGCGGAGCCUUAGAUGUUCACCAGGGUGAAGCGACCCAGUCUCUGGGUUGUGAUGCUGUAUAUGGGGGCGGGGUCAGAGAGGGGCAAUGGAGUUUGUUCUGCUCUCUCUCCCAUUUCGGUCCCCUCUGCUGCUUCCUGCUAGCAAAUUGGGCCCUUCUGAGGCUGGUUCCCGGGGGUCUGGGCUUGUGCACCCUCCAGGUCCCUGUGGGUCUCUCCAACGAACUCUCUGUGAGCCUGGGAGCCUCUCCUGGUACCUAGACCUCAAAAGUUUUUCCAAUUGGUGCUUUUAGGCUUUAAUUCCUGGCAAUGGGGCCCUGGUUUGCGUGGUCUGUCUCACUGCUCACUCCUCUGCCUGGUUUAUCUGUGUGUGAAUGUGUGACCUCGGUCAGCCAGCCACCCCACACCCUCACUGAGUCCACUCACUGGCACCCGUGCCUGGGAUCUGCCAACCGCUGCCUACGCGCCUAGGUCAGCUGGCCACCUUUUUCUGCGCGACCCCGCUCUGCCAACUGCUGAUGUCGCCCCUCUUAUCAGUCUGGAUGAAUGGUUCAUUGUCAGACUUCCGUACAGUUCAAUUUUCUGUGUUUUGGUUGCGUUUUUGUUACUAAAACUUUGUGGUCUUUAAACUUGGUGUGAGGAGGUGUAGUGUUUCCACCUAUGCCUCCAUCUUGGCCGGAACGGCUUGCUAGGAUUUAACCAACCAGGAGCAUUUCUGACAUUUGCUAAACCUGCCAAGGACACAAAGAAGAAAAAGAUGCAGCGAUGGUGUCUGCCAGUCUAUAGGCUGCAGCUUGAGGACACCUUGUCACAUAACCCCACACGCCCCACCUUCCCCAUCCAGCCCACCCGGCCUGUUGCUGGCUCAUGGAGGCAGCACAGAGAUGCUCCAAAACCAGCCUGUGCCCGGCCUCAGGAGAGCCUCACUGUUAAUCCUGGGGGUGGGGAGGCAUGGCUGCCUUUGUACCACUGCUAGAGGGUCUGGGUGUAGGAGGAGCAACUCCCGUGCCAGGGGUAGGGCUGAAGGGUGACCUGGCUUGUGGCCUAGAGAACACAGCGGACUCUUGGUAGCCCAACAAGGGCUCGCAGUCUGGAGGCAGGCCACAAAAUCCCAAGGAGCUCCUGAGGAUUGCAAAGUCUAUACGCCAAUGAAGGCCGCCUCGUCAUCUCUGCCGCUGCCAUCAAAGCUGAGCUGAGAUCAUUUCGUUUGCCACAUGCUGACACAGUGCUCUGCCCACUGGGCUUGGUCUUCUUUCCUUUCCUUUUAAAGGGAAGAACAGCGAUGGCCAGGGACUGGGCCUCCACAUGAGGCUGAGGGCUGGAUGAAGCCCAGUAACCAGUUAGAGAGGUUCAGGGGGCCUGCACCUUUCUCAACGGCCCGAGUUAAAGGCCAUUCUCCUGUGUCUGGGGUGCUCGCAGCCAACUCGGAAGUAAUUAAUUCCACAAGAAACAGUUCAGCAGGCCAGGAGCACGGUGGCACUAUUUCACACCUGCAGAGGCCAAGUGGAGUGUUUACAAACCAGCCUGAGCUCCACUGCCGGCAAAGGUCAGGUGCAGGUGUCAGGGGCCACAGGGCUGUUCUUUGGGAAGCCAGGGGGCAUCUGCCAAGUGCCAGGACCCAGACGCUACGAACAGGCCAGACACGCCCCUCUCCCGUGUGGGACUGACGUGCCAGAGAUAUGAGCACAGAAGAACCGGGGCUUGGAGAGAGAAUAACUUGGUGGGGUGGAAGGGGAGUCAGGAAGGCCUCUAUAAGGCCUGAGGGAUGAAAAGGAGACACCACACCAGGUACGGAAAGAAGGAUUAUCUGGGCAGAAAAACAGGGCCUGCAAAAGUGCCCAGUCUUCUGACCAGACUGGCCCGCUUCCCACGUGGUCCCCUAGGACUGCCCGUGUGUCAGUGCUGGGCCAGGCUCUCCCUGGAGGCCUCAUGCCCACCUCUCAUCGGGAUCCUGGGCAGCAUGAGUGCCAGGGCCAGGGGUUUAGAAAGGGAGGGGAACUGAGCAGGCUCCAGGGCUUUGUUUUUAACCUAGGACUUGCUUGGUAUUGAGCAAGGUAAGGUGUCGUCUGCACAUGAUGGAAGCCAGAGGCACAAGGAACACAGGAAAUCUCAGCCACACUACUGAGCUUUGGGGGAAGUAACUCCAACAUGGUGACAAGGGAGAUCAGAUACAGGGGGUGGAGAGGGCAGGACAAGGGAGUUAAGAGAAGGAAGAGGGAAUCUGGAAUUCCAGAGUUUUCAGAUCAGGACCACCAACAUCCAGGCCUACCCAAAGAAGCCUAGUAGGAGAUGGCACAGGGCAUUGGCUGGUACCCACCAGUACCGCUCCCUGUCCCCAAGGGGAAGGAGCACCUCCCCCAUCCCCACAAGAGCUCUUAGAGGUAGGCCAGGGCCUGCAGACCACAGACGGCAGGCUGAGGAGUCUGUAGGCUGCACACUUGGCCUCCCACAAAGGCUACCCAUGCCCAGGGGGUGGUGGAAAGCAAGUGCAGGAGCAGGGAGGAGGAUUCUGAGUGACACUGAGCAGGACUAGGGUUCAUCUGGCCUGAGCCCUCAGGGAACCAAGAGGAUCCAUGACCUGUGGUCUGACUUGUCCCAGGGCCCCUGGGCCACGGGGACUGGAGCUGGGAAGCAGCCGCACAGGCCUCCACUCAAUGACUUCUCCAGGAGAGGUCAGGCACAUCCUGGUGAGGUGCUGAGGGUCUGGCAGGCCAGACAGCCUCACUGCGAGUGCCCUGUGGGAAGCGGAGGACACCAGUGGCCCUUGGAAUGGGAAAUGCCCUGUGGAGUUGAGGAGGGCCUGGUCCAAGGCAAGCUUACUCAGGAUGAAGUCCAGGAAUGGCCACCUCAUGUCACCUGGCUAGGUGCUUUCUCCUUCCUUCAGAGCACAAGUCUAGAUCCCCUCAAGGGAAGUGCCAGAAGCUGCAGUGGAGUGGCCCACACUGCCCAUGCCUCUGCCCCAAUCUCACACACGGGUAAAGCUCCAGUCUGGUGGGAAGGUGUGCUUGGGACCCAGGUCUACUGGCCAGGAUGUGGAGGAAGCAGCCCCAUUUGCCGCUCUUCUUGGAACGGCAGGAUGUUGGAAUGGGUGGGGCUGUUAGACAGCAUCUCCCGCCUCAGUGUAUGGUCAGUCCCAGCCUGUCAGCCAGAAGGAGGGUGAGCUUAGUGGCUAGAAACACAGGCUAGGCUUUCCUACUUAGCUGUGUGGCUUCGGGCAAGCUGCUUAACCUCCUUCUGCCCUUGUGUGUGCAGUGAAGUGCUUUCCUUUAGGUGGUGAGGACUCAGACAGUCCCUGGGCAGGGGCUGCACGGUAGGUGCUCAGCUUUCCUGAGCCCCCCGCGUCUCCCCCAGCCCAGCCCUGCUGCUCUCUGGGCCGCUUCCCACAGGAGGCCCUGAGACGUCUCCCAAUAAGUCUGUGUUACCAAGGCUUGUCAAGGCAGGGCACUUGAACCUUGAUCUCUGUCCUCCCUGCAUGGUGACAAAACUUUGUGGUGUCAUAAGUAACUUGUGGUCACUAGGGUCACUCCUGGUGAAUCAGGCACACAGUCACGCUGUUUCAGGAAAGCAUGGCCGGAUUUUGCCUUCUGCCUCAUGCCAGUCUCUAGGCACUUCUGAAGGGCUGCUGCGGCCACGCUCUGGUUGGGGCCCUGGACGCCAUCAAGGGGACCUAUGCCACUCUCAGGGACUGCUCCAUGGGGCAAUCACCUCCAGAAGCAGAGUGUUGGGUGGUCCUUUCCUAGGGCCUGGGCUGGGUGGAGGGCCACGAACUGGCCAGGUCCUGAAUCUGUCACGACUCGCGGGGGGACUCAUUUGCACUGUGGAAAUAAGGGUGAACCCCAGGGCACAUGCGUAGGGCAAUCAGAGGAGGGAGAAUAACUUGUGGGGUAGCAACAGACAGACAAAGGAGGGCCACACUGGCACCCUCGGGACAGCUUUCUGGCAGCGAUUCUGUCAGUACUUGAGUGGGCUUUCGAGGGCCCUCAAAAUGGUGUGGAAUGGCAUGGCCGCUCUGGCGACCUUUGGGGCUGGGUUUGCAUCCGACUCUGACUCAUAUCGUCCAGCUGGGCCUGAGUCUGCACUUCUAAUGGGCUCUCAGGGGAUGCCCCUGCUGCCUGUCUGGGGGCCACACUGAGGAAUGGAAGCAGGGUCCUCUUGUCCUAUAGAGUGGCUCUGGUGGCCUGGGCCCUGCACCCUGUCGGUGGCAUGCAGGGCAGCAUGGAGAGCCCCCGGGCCUGGCCCUGCUCAGCCGUGGCUCAGGCCGUCUCUGCCUCCUCGCAGGUCUAGUCAGAGGGUUGGACCUGGUGUGGCUGCAACCCAGCCUUGGAAGCCCAAGAGGCGAUGUGAGUGCCAGAACUGGGAUGCUGUUGUGGCCAAAAGGGCCAGACUGGACUCUGUCCCAUCGGAACACAAGGACUCUGCCCUGUGCCUGGCUGUGUCCCUGAUUCUGGCAAAUGAGCCCUAGGAUAUGGGCACCCCCCCACCCGCAGCCCCACAGGCACCUGGAGCUGGUCAUUGGAGGCCAUGUUGGUGGGAGGUUAUAAGGCCGUCUGGGCCAUGGUGAGGUGAACAGCCCGCCUGGGGUCACCUGAGAAGUGUCUCUGUCCCUGCCAGGGUCCCUUGGCUAUGCCACCCUUCCACAGAAACAGUCCUCCUCUCCCGGAGAGCCUGUGAGGGAGCUCGUUGCCUCCUCCCAGGGCUUCCCUGGAGAGUAGCAAGGUUAGCUCUGCCAACCAGGCCAGUGUCUCAAGCCUGCCUCCUGGAAGGUGUCAGCUCUGUCCUGCCUCCCGGAGCUGGGGCUAGGCCCCUAAGGGUGAGAGCCCCCCUCCCCUGCUGCUGCUACAGCAGCUUGGCCCUCCCAGGGGCCCCUGUAGGCAUGCAGACAGCUCCUUUCCACAUGCCUGGCUGAGAGGAUAGCAGGCAGCCCCACACCCUGGAGCACUCAGAGGACUCUGCUGUCCCUGCUUCCCAGGCAAUAGAUAGCCUGGGUCAAGGUGGGGUGUGGUGCUGGGCGACAAAAGAGGUCUGAGACUGAGGGGCUCAUGCCCACCACUGCUGUCUUCUCCACCCCUGUGAGCCGCCCAGGGGCCCCCGCCCCCUCCUCCCUCUGCAGGACCCCCAUGGGUACUCUCUGUGCUCUCUGCUGCCUGCAGGCCCCUGCACUGGACUCCUCUGGGCUGCUCUUGAGUCUCAGCUCAGAUAGCUCUUUUCCAGGGAGGGAUGUAUGUGCCCCCCAGCCCCGCAGCUCUCUGUGGCCCAGCAUUCAGGUGCCUGUCCUCACCUGCUUAAACCAGCGACCCUUUCGGUUUGCAAACUGGCACUCAGUCCACUGAUCCACACCAGCCAGGGCUAAAUUAUGUGAAUUUUAUUUUUACCUUCAUAAAUCUGAUAAAAAAAUGUUUAAGUCUCCCCUUCUAAAACAAACCUUGUUUUCCAGAAAAAAAUGAAAAGAAAGAGCCAGCUGGCUGUAGGUGCUGUGAUGCCGUCGAUGUAGAUGUUGCAUCUUCUCACUUGGCCUUGCCUCUGGCCUGUUGCUCAUCGAGACCCUGUGUGUCCAGACAGCCCCUCAGGCUGAGUGCCGCACACUCUCCCGCUUUGUCUCUGCGGCUGGCUGAAGUCCAUGUACAUAAUGACCAAAGAAGGCAGACCAGGUUGGGCACUGUGUUUAGUUAAUAGUUGAAGAGCCACUUACUCUUUGUCUAUUUUUCCAGUGGCUUUGUACAAGUGGGCAUUGUUUCAUCUAAAAAAAAAAUUAAAAGAUCUUGAAAAGCUGCGUGCGAAUCAAGCAUUGUGGGUGCAGUAGGAAAAGCCCACAGACUGUGUCUAGAUGAAUCUCAGAGCAAACCCUUUGAUAAAGCAGUAACCUCUCUCAUCCCCUUUAGUGUGUUAAAUAAAACUUAAAAAGAGAUAAGCCACAUCUUCUUUAUCCAGUUGUCUACUGAUGGACACAUGGGCUGCUUCCACAGCUGGGCUAUUGUAAAUAAUCCUGCAGUGAACAUAGGGAUGCAUUUAUCUUUUCAAAUUAGUGUUUUGGGUUUCUUCAGGUAAAUACCCACAAGUGGAAUUGCUGGGUCAUAAGGUUGUUCUAUUUUUAAUUUUUUGAGGAACUUCCAUACUGUUUUUUAAUAAUGGAGGCACCAAUUUACAGUCUUACCAACCAUGUAGAGGGUUCCCUUUUCUCCACAUCUCCAAGUGGUACAUAUGUAUAAUGGAAUAUUACUCAACCAUAAAAAAUGAAACCUUAACCAUUUGCUAAGUGAAAUAAAUUACAGAAAGACGCAUACCUUGUGAUUCCACUCAUGUAGAAUCUGAAGAACAAACAAACACAACAGGAACAGGCUCACAGAUACAGAGAACAGACUGAUGGGUGCC